UUUUUGUUCUAAAAGUGAACUUCUCCUUUAAUGUAUAGUUGUAUAUGUUUUUUUAGGUGCUUGUCAUAUCUGAAUAGUUCAUUUUUAGAGCAAAUAUUUAGACCUCUUACAGACCAUAUGGCUCAUCCAAACCAUGUCUAUCGAUCAUAUGAAGCCUACUUGUCAUAACCACAGUAAACCACAAAGGCAGAAUGCUGUUGAAAGGACAUGAUCGCAUUGAUGGACCAGCAAGCAGGUGCAGGAAAUGAAAUCCAGCCUUUCUGGAGCGCUGUUCAGUCCUGUGAGACUCCAACAUGGGCAGAGGCCAUACAUGUGAGUUUGAUCACCCAUGCUUUAUUUGCCCAUUCAAGAAAUCUGAAGUCAAAAGUUAGCUUUGUGUGAAAAACAAACUGAAGUCAACAUUCACUGCUUCACAGCCGUGGACACCAUUCACUUUCAUUGUAUGAAAAACAGCAGCUUAGACACCGCUUAUACAUUUUAUGUUCCUUGGAAAAAAAGUAAGUCAUACUGGUUUCAAAAGACAUGACUGUGAGUAAAUAAUGACAGAACUGCUUGACAGCCAUAGUCACCAUUCACUUUCACUGCAUGGAAAACAGCAGCUUCAACAUUCCUUGUGUUUCUUGGAAGACAGAAAGUCAAUGAUAGUAAGUAAAUAAUAACAUAGUUUUAAUUUUUGCUGAACUAAUUUUUUACCCAUGCUAAUGUGUUUGCCCUCAUUUUAGAAGCCGAAUCUAAAAAUAUGAUUUAUGCUAUGCACAUUAAAGAAAUCAAAUUAGAAAAAAACUCCAAUACUAUCGAGUACUUGACAAAACAAAAACAAUCCAAAAACACACACUCCGAGUUCAGCCAGAACUGAGCGACCUCAAACAGAACAAAGGAGGUGAGAGUGAAACCAGAUCCUUUAUCAACGUGUUCCCAUGCAGAGGAGAAGCUCUGACUCAGGAUCGGUUUGCAUUGCUGGCAUUAUCCCACUUCUCCGUUUAAAUAAAUCUGCUUUGCUGUGAAAGAAACAAAGAGAAGAGAGAAAAUGGGGUAUCUGUUUCACAAACCCACAAGCCAACAACACCUGCACCAACAGCCCUGAAUAACAAGUGCAAUUCUUCUAGACAAACGAGGUUCCUGGUGAGCUGGAGGGGGAAUUUGAAGUUGAUGCAGACUUGUUCACGCACGUUUUUGCUUCUUAAUUGUCAGUCUGCAUGUGAGGUAACCUGUUACAUCACAGGAAGGCAAAGGUGCGGUGAGUCGGUAGAAGGGCACAGCUUCUUGGAAUCUUGGCUCGUCUCUGGCUUCGCCAUUGUUGCUAUGGCAGGUGUGUUAGAGACAGCUUUGGAAAGAUGGCGCGUGUUAUUCUUGUGAAACACCUGCUGAGUUACAGGCUUUUUGAGGAGAGAGCGGUUCUCAGCGCCGCCAAUUUGUUGCACUUCAUUAGCGAAAUAAAGCAUCUUUCAGCUAUGAGUGAAACAGGAGGCCAAAGUCUAAAGUUCGCAGUCACCCCGGAGAACAGCAGAGAUUUACAAUUAGUGUUAUUCCGGUAAAAAGCGAUUACAGAGAACGGUUGGAUACACUUAAAUUAGAAUGUUUUUAAAGUUUUAAAUGUUACACGAGUUUAAAUGUAUGUAAUAUUGUAAACUAUGCUGUAUUCACCUAAAUAAAUUAAAUUUGUCUUGUACUUUGACCAUGUGUUCUUGCUUAAUAAUAAAUGUUCACCAUUUGA
Molecule: long non-coding RNA, 1714 nt
Organism: Labeo rohita (rohu)
Lineage: Eukaryota; Metazoa; Chordata; Actinopteri; Cypriniformes; Cyprinidae
Exons: 3
Source: RefSeq, a predicted model, not a curated record